This 247-nucleotide ribosomal RNA is filed under the name uncultured bacterium. RNAcentral's name for it is "partial 16S ribosomal RNA". It matches the Rfam family "Bacterial small subunit ribosomal RNA", at positions 524 to 769 of the family's 1533-position model. The record is from RNAcentral.
UACGAAGGGGGCUAGCGUUGCUCGGAAUCACUGGGCGUAAAGGGUGCGUAGGCGGGUCUUUAAGUCAGGGGUGAAAUCCUGGAGCUCAACUCCAGAACUGCCUUUGAUACUGAAGAUCUUGAGUUCGGGAGAGGUGAGUGGAACUGCGAGUGUAGAGGUGAAAAUUCGUAGAUAUUCGCAAGAACACCAGUGGCGAAGGCGGCUCACUGGCCCGAUACUGACGCUGAGGCACGAAAGCGUGGGGGAG